Molecule: ribosomal RNA, 525 nt
Filed under: Triticum aestivum (bread wheat)
Lineage: Eukaryota; Viridiplantae; Streptophyta; Magnoliopsida; Poales; Poaceae
Description: partial small subunit ribosomal RNA
Source: RNAcentral
AUGGUUAGAGGAGAAAGCAGCUACAUUCAAGGAGAUGGAAACCAGAGACAACAAUGGAGCAGUAGACCUGUUAAAUUUUCUGAUAACGAGGGGCCAUGGAUGGAGGAGAGUCAAGGGAGAGAACCUGGGAGAGGAGGACAAAUGAAAGAUGGCAUCAAGAUAGCUUUGGGAGGGGCUAACAGAGUGGUAUGCAAUAAAUGGAAAGACACCGGGCAUGCCACAAAAGACUGCAAGCUUGAUCAUUGUGCAGUGUGUGGGAAGAGAAAUCACAUCACUGCUAACUGCACUUGGUUGAAGCAGAUGAAACCAGUUCCUAAAUUUGUAGGAUAUGAUGCAAGAGGUUUGGGGGUGUUGCUGGUGCAAAGCUCCAAGGAUAAUUUAGAUCUUGAAUAUCCAAACACAAUGGCCCUGGUGACUGUUAGAUCUAGUGUGUUAAAUGAAACUCAACUGCUGGAGGGAUUCAAUUAUAUGUUCAACCGGAACUGGGAGGUGCAAGAAGUAAGGAAACAAUGCAUUUUUUAUUAG